GUGUUCGCUUCGGCAACACAUAUACUAAAAUUGGAAUGAUACAGAGAAGAUUAGCAUGGCCCCUGCACAAGGAUGACAUGCAAAUUUGUGAAGUAUUCCAUAUUUUU
Dipodomys ordii (Ord's kangaroo rat) is the source of this 107-nucleotide small nuclear RNA. The record is from Ensembl. NCBI's taxonomy places the organism in Eukaryota, Metazoa, Chordata, Mammalia, Rodentia, Heteromyidae.